GGUUAAGUGACUAAGCGUACACGGUGGAUGCCUUGGCAGUCAGAGGCGAUGAAGGACGUAGUAACUUGCGAUAAGCGUAGAUGAGGCAGUAACAGCCACUUGAGUCUACGAUUUCCGAAUGGGGAAACCCACUGGCAUAAGCCAGUAUCAUUGAGUGAAUACAUAGCUCAAUGAAGCGAACCGGGAGAACUGAAACAUCUAAGUACCCCGAGGAAAAGAAAUCAACCGAGAUUCCGAAAGUAGCGGCGAGCGAAAUUGGAUUAGCCCUUAAGCUUUACAUGUGUUAGACGAACGGUCUGGAAAGUCCGACGAUACAGGGUGAUAGUCCCGUAGUUGACGAUGCAUGUUCAGUGAAAUCGAGUAGGGCGGGACACGUGUUAUCCUGUCUGAAUAUGGGGGGACCAUCCUCCAAGGCUAAAUACUCCUGACUGACCGAUAGUGAACCAGUACCGUGAGGGAAAGGCGAAAAGAACCCCUGUGAGGGGAGUGAAAUAGAACCUGAAACCGUGUACGUACAAGCAGUAGGAGCACCUUCGUGGUGUGACUGCGUACCUUUUGUAUAAUGGGUCAGCGACUUAUAUUCAGUGGCAAGGUUAACCAUCUAGGGGAGCCGUAGGGAAACCGAGUCUUAACUGGGCGCCAUAGUCUCUGGAUAUAGACCCGAAACCGAGUGAUCUAGCCAUGGGCAGGUUGAAGGUUGAGUAACAUCAACUGGAGGACCGAACCGACUAAUGUUGAAAAAUUAGCGGAUGACUUGUGGCUAGGGGUGAAAGGCCAAUCAAACUCGGAGAUAGCUGGUUCUCCCCGAAAGCUAUUUAGGUAGCGCCUCGGACGAAUACUACUGGGGGUAGAGCACUGUUAAGGCUAGGGGGUCAUCCCGACUUACCAACCCUUUGCAAACUCCGAAUACCAGUAAGUACUAUCCGGGAGACACACGGCGGGUGCUAACGUCCGUCGUGGAGAGGGAAACAACCCAGACCGCCAGCUAAGGUCCCAAAUUACAGCUAAGUGGGAAACGAUGUGGGAAGGCUUAGACAGCUAGGAUGUUGGCUUAGAAGCAGCCAUCAUUUAAAGAAAGCGUAAUAGCUCACUAGUCGAGUCGGCCUGCGCGGAAGAUGUAACGGGGCUAAGUUGUAAACCGAAGCUGCGGCAAUGUUCUUUGAACAUUGGGUAGGGGAGCGUUCUGUAAGCCGUUGAAGGUGUGUUGUAAAGCAUGCUGGAGGUAUCAGAAGUGCGAAUGCUGACAUGAGUAACGACAAGGGGGGUGAAAAACCUCCCCGCCGGAAGACCAAGGGUUCCUGUCCAACGUUAAUCGGGGCAGGGUAAGUCGACCCCUAAGGCGAGGCCGAAAGGCGUAGUCGAUGGGAAACGGGUUAAUAUUCCCGUACUUCUUACAAUUGCGAUGGGGGGACGGAGAAGGCUAGGUGGGCCUGGCGACGGUUGUCCAGGUUCAAGUGCGUAGGCU
Molecule: ribosomal RNA, 1465 nt
Filed under: Vibrio vulnificus
Lineage: Bacteria; Pseudomonadati; Pseudomonadota; Gammaproteobacteria; Vibrionales; Vibrionaceae
Description: partial 23S ribosomal RNA
Rfam family: Bacterial large subunit ribosomal RNA
Source: RNAcentral